AAAGAAGCAUACUGUAUAAAAAUAAUAACAUAGAGCCCCAUUUCAGCUUGCAUUACCCUUGUUAUUGAUAAGAUUACAUAUUCAAUAAUUUGAACAGUUUUUAAAACUUAUUGAUGAGUUGAGAAAGGCUUGUAACCCUUAACAUCAGUUGCAAGUCCCUGGAUCGAUCCAGCAGCUGCCACAAGUGAUACGAUCAAACAAGUCCAGCUCAAUAUUUUCAGCCAUACCCAUGUGAAAGAAUACUUUGGUAUCUUUCUCUGAGCAAUGUGCAUCUCUAUUGGGAAAUAAACGGUUAAUGGAUAGAACGAUGCUGCUCCGAUCAGCCCCAAGAAGUAGUUGAAGAAGGGGAAUAUCAUCGCAAUCACCGCUGUCACUAUAACAUAGGUUGUUCUCCAAACCAACCUGAACAAGUUGAGGUUGUAAGUUCCACAGCAUGGAACUUGCAUCGCGUAUUCUGAGGUGAUGAAUUUGCUGUCUGGCCAGCGUUCGCUGCAACGAGCCUCCACAAAUCCAUAUAAUGGUUGGCAGAAAACCUGAUAAGCUCCGAUAAGGUGGACAGCGAUGCAGACGUUGGCAAAGUCAAUUAGCCAAAAAGGUUCAUAGAAACCAAAUCCAGUAAGAAAAUUUCCUGGAGCAUCGUUUCCAAAGGCUGCAUAGCCAAUGGUACCACAAAGUACAUAGAAUAAGGUUGUGGUGGAAACUCCAGCUAGUGAGGCUCUUUUCAUUACCUUGCUUUCUGGUGGUGAUGAUUUCAGUGUGUCCUGUAUUUCAAUAAGAACCGUGGAAUAAGCAUAAGCAAAUGCAAUAUCUCCAAUAGCUUGGAAACUUCUCCAUACUUUUUCUGUUCCAGAUACAUCCACACCUACUACCACCCCUGUUAGGGUUGUCUUCACAUGGUGCCCCACACCUGCGACUUUGGCUAUGGAUAGUCCAAGACCAAUAGAAGCAUAAGUAAAAGACAUAACAGCAGCAAGAAUUGAUAACCAUGAGAGCUUGUGGAAAUUUGGAAUUUGGCUAAGAACUAUUUGAAUUACUGCAAAUAUUAUCAUGUAUGGGUAGCUUCCAAUUGAGCAACUUGCUUCAUGCCCAUUUUUGUGAAAACAAUUUGACCUCCUUACAGCCACCAUACUAAUAGAUGCUGUAAUUGUAUAUCCAAUUGUUACUCCAACAAGGUUAGCAUAUUGUGCAAUUCCACACAAUGUCACCUUCACACCUCCUAAGUGAGAGCGGACAACGUCCAUGUAAGUAUAGUUUCUCUUGCCGGAAAUCGGUCCCGGAGACCGGUAAGAGUCAGCAAGAAGUGUAGAAGUGAAAUAUGUGAUGAAAGAAAAAGCUAAGAGAACAGCAGGACCAGCCACCCAUCCUAAUUGAGCUAUAGCCCAUGCUAGUGAAAGUACUCCUGAACCAAUCACAGCAGUAAUAAUAUGUGCACUCGCAGUCAACAAAGUCCCUGUUCUUUUUUCACGUCCAUCAUCAUCGAAGUUUUUCUGAACGUCUCCACUUUCGAGUUCAUUCGAGACAUACAUAGCGUUCUUUUGAAAUUCAGGUGCCAUAUUCUCAAGUGUGUGUUUUUGUGAGAUUUGGAGUUUUUAAGUACAAGAAUGGUUUAAGAAAAGAUGUAUUAUAUAAAAGAAGAGAUUGAAUUUUGUUGUUUAAAAAUUUAGGGUCAAAAGGGGGCCAAAAGUCUUUGGAGCCAAGAGUAGUGGGAGAAUUUGAAAAACUAUAAUUUUCUACUAAAAGAUUUCUUAAAAUCUUUACCUAAAAUACUAUAGUAGGAAAUUUUGGGUGUUAUAA
RNAcentral lists this unclassified non-coding RNA (1794 nucleotides) under Hevea brasiliensis (rubber tree). Lineage: Eukaryota; Viridiplantae; Streptophyta; Magnoliopsida; Malpighiales; Euphorbiaceae. The record is from RNAcentral.